GACGAACGCUGGCGGCGUGCUUAACACAUGCAAGUCGAACGGAAAGGCCCUGCUUUUGUGGGGUGCUCGAGUGGCGAACGGGUGAGUAACACGUGAGUAACCUGCCCUUGACUUUGGGAUAACUUCAGGAAACUGGGGCUAAUACCGGAUAGGAGCUCCUGCUGCAUGGUGGGGGUUGGAAAGUUUCGGCGGUGGGGGAUGGACUCGCGGCUUAUCAGCUUGUUGGUGGGGUAGUGGCUUACCAAGGCUUUGACGGGUAGCCGGCCUGAGAGGGUGACCGGCCACAUUGGGACUGAGAUACGGCCCAGACUCCUACGGGAGGCAGCAGUGGGGAAUAUUGCACAGUGGGCGGAAGCCUGAUGCAGCAGCGCCGCGUGCGGGAUGCCGGCCUUCGGGUUGUAAACCGCUUUCGCCUGUGACGAAGCGUGAGUGACGGUAAUGGGUAAAGAAGCACCGGCUAACUACGUG
Molecule: ribosomal RNA, 468 nt
Filed under: uncultured bacterium
Lineage: Bacteria
Description: partial 16S ribosomal RNA
Rfam family: Bacterial small subunit ribosomal RNA
Source: RNAcentral